CCUACGGGAGGCAGCAGUGGGGAAUAUUGGGCAAUGGGCGCAAGCCUGACCCCGCAACGCCGCGUGAAGGAAGAAGGCUUUCGGGUUGUAAACUUCUUUUCUCAGGGCCGAAGAAAGUGACGGUACCUGAGGACUAAGCCACUGCUAACUACGUGCCAGCAGCCGCGGUAAUACGUAGGUGGCAAGCGUUAUCCGGAUUUACUGGGUGUAAAGGGCGUGUAGGCGGGGAAGCAAGUCAGAUGUGAAAACCACGGGCUCAACCUGUGGCCUGCAUUUGAAACUGUUGUUCUUGAGUACUGGAGAGGCAGACGGAAUUCCUAGUGUAGCGGUGAAAUGCGUAGAUAUUAGGAGGAACACCAGUGGCGAAGGCGGUCUGCUGGACAGCAACUGACGCUGAGGCGCGAAAGCGUGGGGAGCAAACAGGAUUAGAUACCCUUGUAGUC
Molecule: ribosomal RNA, 443 nt
Filed under: uncultured bacterium
Lineage: Bacteria
Description: partial 16S ribosomal RNA
Rfam family: Bacterial small subunit ribosomal RNA
Source: RNAcentral